This 253-nucleotide ribosomal RNA is filed under the name uncultured bacterium. Its description in RNAcentral is "partial 16S ribosomal RNA". It matches the Rfam family "Bacterial small subunit ribosomal RNA", at positions 524 to 776 of the family's 1533-position model. The record is from RNAcentral.
UACAGAGGUCUCAAGCGUUGUUCGGAUUCAUUGGGCGUAAAGGGUGCGUAGGUGGCGCGCUAAGUCAGGUGUGAAAUUUCGGAGCUUAACUCCGAAACUGCAUUUGAUACUGGCGUGCUUGAGGACUGGAGAGGAGACUGGAAUUCAUGGUGUAGCGGUGAAAUGCGUAGAGAUCAUGAGGAAGACCAGUGGCGAAGGCGGGUCUCUGGACAGUUCCUGACACUGAGGCACGAAGGCCAGGGGAGCAAACGGG